Molecule: microRNA precursor, 97 nt
Filed under: Bigelowiella natans CCMP2755
Lineage: Eukaryota; Cercozoa; Chlorarachniophyceae
Description: miRNA EPrBNAG00000013387
Source: RNAcentral
CGAUGAUGAUUGUGAUGAUGAUGAUGAUGGAAAAGAAAGAAAAAGUGACAGAUCAUCCAUGAUUGAUGAUACAGCAUCAUCAUCAUCAUCAUUUCAG